Lucilia sericata (common green bottle fly) is the source of this 2377-nucleotide RNA transcript. It is a transcript of the gene named tetraspanin-13, with no coding region annotated. The record is from RefSeq and is a predicted model, not a curated record. NCBI's taxonomy places the organism in Eukaryota, Metazoa, Arthropoda, Insecta, Diptera, Calliphoridae. The transcript is spliced from 5 exons.
UAGUGUUUUUUAGAGAGGACAGAGAAGGAAAAAAACAUCCAAACGACAGACACAGUGUAUAGAAAAACAAGAACAGUGAAAGACGGCAACGAUACAGACAAAAAGAAAAAAAUAAAGAUUUUAUUAUUGUAUACAUUUAUUUUUUAUUUUCUUAUAAAAAAAAAAUAAUAAUUAAUCUAAACUUAAAUUACACCACCAAUAACAACCCCAACCAGACAACAAUUACAAAAAUAUAAAAAGUUAAUAAAAAAAAACGGGAAAUUUAUUCCCUCCUCAAACAAAAAAAAAAGCGAAAGUGUUUAGUUAAACUAACAAAUUAAAUAAAUCGUAAAAAUUUAUAUAAAAUUUUUACACACAAAAAAUAGCAAACUAACAAAAAAAGAAGAAGACUGACAAAAAGAGAAGUUAAAAAAAAAUUAUAACAAAAUGUGUGGAGGUUUUACAUGUUCGAAAAAUGCAUUAAUUGCUUUAAAUAUUUUAUAUGUGCUGGUUGGUUUCCUGUUAAUUGGCGUUGGCGUUUAUGCUCGUGCUGCUUCAAUUGUUACAAAUCUUCCUAUUGUUGGCGGUAUAUUGGCAUGUGGUAUAAUUUUAAUAUUAAUUUCCAUACUGGGCCUGGUUGGUGCCGUUAAACAUCAUCAAGUUAUGCUGUUUUUCUACAUGAUCAUUUUGUUUUUACUCUUCCUGAUACAAUUCUCCAUUGCCAGCUCUUGUUUGGCUGUUAACUCCGAACAGCAACAAGAAUUUGCUGAAGAAGGAUGGAAUCGUGUACCCGACUCUAUGCGCAAACAGGUUCAAGACACUUUCCUUUGCUGUGGCUUCAAUUCGACUAGCACUACGACCUCGGCCGAUAUCUCAUGUGAUGCUAUUAAUAAACAAUGUUGCGGCUCAUCGUAUGAUGUUAAUUGUCAGUGUUCACCCUGUUUGCCUAAGUUAGAGGAUAAAAUCAAUUAUGCCUUUAAAUUGUGCGGUGGUUUGGGUAUAUUCUUUAGUUUUACAGAGUUUAUUGGUGUUUGGCUAACUGUACGUUAUCGUAACCAAAAAGAUCCUCGUGGUUUACCCAGUGCAUUUCUUUAAAUUUAUCUAGAUACUUGUAACAGUAUACAAAAAUAAACAAAAAAUAACAACAAACAUUCUAAUCUUAAAAAGCAAACUCUUCUAGUCAGUCCAUGAAAUGACACAUUUCUCUUUAAAAUUUCCAAAAAAAAUCUCCAAACAGAUUCUCAUUUUAACUAAACACACUUUCACACACAGACAUACAAUAAUUAGUAUUUUAGGGGUAUUUUACAAAAAAUAUUUAAAAAUAAAAAUAAAUUAUAAUUAAAUAAACAAAAAUAUGUUUAUUAAACAAAUAUUUAUUAUACAUUACAUUACAUACAUAUACGUGAAAAUAUAAUUAAUAUUUAUUCAUAAAAUUAUCAUUAAUCAAUCAUCAUACAUUAUAUACAAAAUGAAAACAUGCAUUCUAAUACUUAAUUAUAUACGUAUAAAUUAUUAUACCAUACAUAAUAAUCAUUAAUUACAUUAUUCAUACUUAAUUUAUAAACAAUAUAUUAUUAUAAUUAUAAACAAAUUAAAAACAAUACAAUUUAUUACGAAUAAUUUUAGUUUUUAAGUCAAAAUAUUUAUUACUUCAUAUUUAAAAACUUGUAUCUCUACUCAAGAGUAUAAACACAAUUGCAGCGUUGCGUUUUAAAUUGAAGAAUUCCUUUCACAGCGUCAUUCCCCUUGACGCCUUUAACCAAUUGCGUUUAUGCUCUCGUACAGCCUUCGUUUUUUUUUUUUCAAGUAAACAAUUAUUUUAUAAGAACUUAUUUACUAAUCCACCAAGUUUUUUUCUGGCCAUAGCGUUAAAUACACCAGGGUUUCAUUAAAUUCUUUUAAAAUAUUAAAUACAUCAUUAUAAAUCAUCUGAAUUAAUCUAAUUAACAACUUUUUAUAAAUGUUUUUGGAAGUAAUUUUGCAUACUUUUUCACACUAUCUAACUUUAAUCUUGAGAACCAUCAAUAAUUGGGUACUUGCUGUCUUUUUAGCCCGUCGUUAUCGCAAUCAACAAGAUCCUCAUUAUCUGCCUGCUCGUGCUAUCUUUCCCCAUAAUUAUUUAUACUAAAGAACAAAACCAAAAAAACUAGGCAUAUUAUUAAAUUUUGUUUAUUGAAAUUAUCAGGAUCCAAGUAGUUUAGUUAAAAGAUAUAAGUUUUUUUUUUUAAAAUUGCAAAACAAAGGUUACUAAUUAAUUUUUAAAUUUUAUUUUUUUAUUUUUUGUUUUACGUUUUUUUUUUUUUUUGUAAUUUUAUUUAAUAGUCAAAAUGGGACGAAGGCUGAUUAUUGUUUAAUAAUAAAAGAAAAAUCUUUAAUAAAAGAAAUUACUAAAUUAUUA